CUUCGGGGGGGGCAGCAGUAGGGAAUUUUCCGCAAUGGGGGAAAGUCUGACGGAGCAACGCCGCGUGAGUGAUGAAGGUUUUCGGGUUGUAAAACUCUGUUGUUAGGGAAGAACAAGUACGAGAGUAACUGCUCGUACCUUGACGGUACCUAACCAGAAAGCCACGGCUAACUACGUGCCAGCAGCCGCGGUAAUACGUAGGUGGCAAGCGUUGUCCGGAAUUAUUGGGCGUAAAGCGCGCGCAGGCGGUCUUUUAAGUCUGAUGUGAAAGCCCCCGGCUCAACCGUGGAGGGUCAUUGGAAACUGGGGGACUUGAGUGCAGAAGAGAAGAGUGGAAUUCCACGUGUAGCGGUGAAAUGCGUAGAGAUGUGGAGGAACACCAGUGGCGAAGGCGACUCUUUGGUCUGUAACUGACGCUGAGGCGCGAAAGCGUGGGGAGCAAACAGGAUUAGAUACCCUGGUAGUCCACGCCGUAAACGAUGAGUGCUAAGUGUUAGAGGGUUUCCGCCCUUUAGUGCCGCAGCGAACGCAUUUAAAAA
This 539-nucleotide ribosomal RNA is filed under the name uncultured Bacillus sp. RNAcentral describes it as "bacterial SSU rRNA". It matches the Rfam family "Bacterial small subunit ribosomal RNA", at positions 338 to 867 of the family's 1533-position model. Lineage: Bacteria; Bacillati; Bacillota; Bacilli; Caryophanales; Bacillaceae. The record is from RNAcentral.